UACGUAGGGGGCAAGCGUUGUCCGGAUUUAUUGGGCGUAAAGCGCGUGUAGGCGGCCAGGUAGGUCCGUUGUGAAAACUCGAGGCUCAACCUCGAGACGUCGACGGAAACCAUCUGGCUAGAGUCCGGAAGAGGAGACUGGAAUUUACGGUGUAGCGGUGAAAUGCGUAGAUAUCGUAAGGAAGACCAGUGGCGAAGGCGGGUCUCUGGACAGUUCCUGACGCUGAGGCACGAAGGUCAGGGGAGCAAACGGG
RNAcentral lists this ribosomal RNA (253 nucleotides) under uncultured bacterium. RNAcentral describes it as "partial 16S ribosomal RNA". It matches the Rfam family "Bacterial small subunit ribosomal RNA", at positions 524 to 776 of the family's 1533-position model. The record is from RNAcentral.